CAAGUCGAACGGUAGUAUAUCUUCGGAUAUAUGAGAGUGGCGAACGGGUGAGUAACACGUAAGAAUCUACCUUUGGGACGGGGAUAACUUCUGGAAACGGAUGCUAAUACCCGAUACGCUGUGGAGUGAAAGAAUUUCGCCCAAAGAUGAUCUUGCGUCUGAUUAGCUAGUUGGUAGGGUAAAGGCUCACCAAGGCAUCGAUCAGUAGCUGGUCUGAGAGGAUGAUCAGCCACACUGGGACUGAGACACGGCCCAGACUCC
This 261-nucleotide ribosomal RNA is filed under the name unidentified marine bacterioplankton. RNAcentral's name for it is "partial 16S ribosomal RNA". It matches the Rfam family "Bacterial small subunit ribosomal RNA", at positions 58 to 339 of the family's 1533-position model. The record is from RNAcentral.